Dipodomys ordii (Ord's kangaroo rat) is the source of this 58-nucleotide non-coding RNA. Lineage: Eukaryota; Metazoa; Chordata; Mammalia; Rodentia; Heteromyidae. The record is from Rfam.
UGGCUCAGUGGUAGAGUGCUUGCCUUGCAUGCAUGAGGCCCUGGGUUUGAUUUCUCAG